This 29-nucleotide non-coding RNA is filed under the name Rattus norvegicus (Norway rat). Lineage: Eukaryota; Metazoa; Chordata; Mammalia; Rodentia; Muridae. The record is from RNAcentral.
UUCAAAGAAAAUUGUGAAUAAUCUGUUUU